GAUGAACGCUGGCGGUGUGCCUAAGGCAUGCAAGUCGAACGAGAUUUACUCUUCGGAGUAAUGAAAGUGGCAGACGGGUGAGUAACGCGUAGGAAUCUACCCAAAAGUGGGGAAUAGCCCUCCGAAAGGAGGGAUAAUACCGCAUAAUAUCUCAAGAUCAAACCUCUCACUAUUUGGUGAGAGGGCUUUUGGAGGAGCCUGCGUCCUAUCAGGUAGUUGGUGGGGUAAUAGCCUACCAAGCCUAUGACGGGUAGCCGAUGUGAGAGCAUGAUCGGCCACAAGGUUACUGAGACACGGAGCCUACACCUACGGGUGGCAGCAACUAGGAAUCUUGCGCAAUGGACGAAAGUCUGACGCAGCGACACCGCGUGUGGGAAGACGCUUUUCGGAGUGUAAACCACUGUGGCAGGGGAACAAAUUUUGAGGGUACCCUGCUAGAAAGCACCUGCUAACUACGU
Molecule: ribosomal RNA, 458 nt
Filed under: uncultured bacterium
Lineage: Bacteria
Description: bacterial SSU rRNA
Rfam family: Bacterial small subunit ribosomal RNA
Source: RNAcentral